Molecule: ribosomal RNA, 253 nt
Filed under: uncultured bacterium
Lineage: Bacteria
Description: partial 16S ribosomal RNA
Rfam family: Bacterial small subunit ribosomal RNA
Source: RNAcentral
UACGUAGGUGGCGAGCGUUGUCCGGAUUUACUGGGCGUAAAGAGCGCGCAGGCGGCUGGUCAAGUCGCGUGUGAAAGCCCCCGGCUCAACUGGGGAGGGUCACGCGAUACUGAUCGACUCGAAGGCAGGAGAGGGAAGUGGAAUUCCCGGUGUAGUGGUGAAAUGCGUAGAUAUCGGGAGGAACACCAGUGGCGAAGGCGACUUCCUGGCCUGUUCUUGGCGCUGAGGCGCGAAAGCGUGGGGAGCAAACAGG